CCUACGGGAGGCAGCAGUGAGGAAUAUUGGUCAAUGGACGAGAGUCUGAACCAGCCAAGUAGCGUGAAGGAUGACUGCCCUAUGGGUUGUAAACUUCUUUUAUAUGGGAGUAAAAUGUUCCACGUGUGGGAUUUUGUAUGUACCAUAUGAAUAAGGCUCGGCUAACUCCGUGCCAGCAGCCGCGGUAAUACGGAGGAUCCGAGCGUUAUCCGGAUUUAUUGGGUUUAAAGGGAGCGUAGGUGGAUUGUUAAGUCAGUUGUGAAAGUUUGCGGCUCAACCGUAAAAUUGCAGUUGAAACUGGCAGGCUUGAGUACAGUAGAGGUGGGCGGAAUUCGUGGUGUAGCGGUGAAAUGCUUAGAUAUCACGAAGAACUCCGAUUGCGAAGGCAGCUCACUGGACUGCAACUGACACUGAGGCUCGAAAGUGUGGGUAUCAAACAGGAUUAGAUACCCUGGUAGUC
This 460-nucleotide ribosomal RNA is filed under the name uncultured bacterium. RNAcentral's name for it is "partial 16S ribosomal RNA". It matches the Rfam family "Bacterial small subunit ribosomal RNA", at positions 338 to 795 of the family's 1533-position model. The record is from RNAcentral.